GACGAACGCUGGCGGCGUGCCUAAUGCAUGCAAGUCGCACGGGUCUCCUUCGGUAGUUCAGUGUCGAAGGGCUGCGGACCACGUAGGAACCUAUCCUUCAGUGGGGGACAACACCGCGAAAGCGGUGCUAAUCCCGCAUACGCUCUGCGGAGGAAAGCGUGAGCAAUCGCGCGCGAUGGAUUGGCCCUGCGGCACAUCAGGGAGUUGGCGGUGGAACGGCACGCCAAGCACGUGUCGGGUCGCUGGUCUGUGACGACGACCAGUCAGACUGGGACUGAGACACGGCCCCGACUCCUACGGGAGGCAGCAGCAUGGUAUUCUCGGGGAUGGGCGCAAGUCUGACAGCGCAACGCGGGGGGCGGGAUGACGGCCUUCGGGUUGUGCAUCGCUUUUGGGGGGGAAGAAAGAGACGGUACCCCGCGAAGCAGCCCCGGCUAACUCUGUG
RNAcentral lists this ribosomal RNA (445 nucleotides) under uncultured bacterium. RNAcentral describes it as "partial 16S ribosomal RNA". It matches the Rfam family "Bacterial small subunit ribosomal RNA", at positions 28 to 507 of the family's 1533-position model. The record is from RNAcentral.